RNAcentral lists this unclassified non-coding RNA (600 nucleotides) under Zea mays. Its description in RNAcentral is "misc RNA Zm00001eb008120". Lineage: Eukaryota; Viridiplantae; Streptophyta; Magnoliopsida; Poales; Poaceae. The record is from RNAcentral.
CCGAGAUUCCUCCCCGGCGGGCCGUCCAAUGAUCCUACUACCCGUUCUGGCGACCUCGUCACUCCAUUCCUCUCGAAUGCAGAGAAUCAGCAUUCAAUCCAAGGCAGUGCACCCAAGCAACAAAUAACCUACAAUGCUACUCUACCGUCCUCACAGCUGACUUUGCUGAAAUCUUCCACAAUAUCUCUUGAAUUCCUCGCUCCUCCGCUUUCGAAUAAAAGCUACGGACUGCGACAUCGAUCCCCCCUCAUCCGAUGCCGAAAUGCUACUGCUCAAGGUGCUGAUUUCGUUUGGGCCAAGACAAGCAGUCAAGUGGCGAUGUAACUGCUGAUUUGUUUCUGGCCACUCAAUUUUCAGAUGUGGCUACGGUAGUUUAAGUAUUUGUUGCUGGCCAGUCAAUUUUCAGAUGUGGCUACGAUAGUUUGUGUAAAAGUAUAGAGGGUUAAACUCGAGCAUGUGAGUUCUAGAGAUGUUGUAGAGGUGGGUUGUGCAUGGGAGUCUCCGGCCUCACUACACGGCAUGAGAACCAAAGUUGGUAUAUGCACCAAUCCCGAUGCUGUUAGCGUAGGAUUUGGUAUGAAAACCUCUUUGGGUUCAGUG